Molecule: long non-coding RNA, 277 nt
Filed under: Vigna radiata
Lineage: Eukaryota; Viridiplantae; Streptophyta; Magnoliopsida; Fabales; Fabaceae
Description: long non-coding RNA (VRAD_LNC004587)
Source: RNAcentral
UAAGUUCUUCAAAAUAAAAACGAAAACUAACCUUCAAAAGGUGGGUUCAUUGGAAUAAAGUGACGUCACCCAUGAGAGAGAAAACAGAAUGCGCCUAUGAAGGACAAGAGCACGAAAAUAAUUGGUCAAAACAAACGAAAAUCAUACAUAUAGUAGUUAAUUAACAUGCAUUUGUAUCAAAUGAAAGAAAGAUUACCUGUGAUGGUCAUCAAACUUCGUUCAAGAAAAGUUUGAGAAGAGAAGAGAGUCUUGCACGCUAAGAUAAAGUAAAUGAAUU